GGCCGCGAUCCCCGCUCGCACGUGGAGGUAGAGUGCAGACGCUCCCCACAGCCAGGGGAGGAUGAAGGACCAGGGUGAGGGGCCGGAAGGGACGUGAGAGGCAGCCGCACACUGUUACCAUUCCAGGCUUGUGUGGGAGAAGACUGUGGUGCGCCUGUGUCUAUCCGCCCGGGCGGCUCCAGCCUCUGGUUAAUAAAAGGACAUGCAGUUUGUUUCCCUUCCCCUUGAGUCUGGAUGGCCUUGAGACUUGCCUUGGCUAACAGAAUGCAGUAAAGUGAUGUCAUUUGACUUUUGGGUCUGGGCCUUAAGAAGCCUUGCAACUUCCAGUUUUACUGUCUUGGGAUCUGGACACCAUUUUUAAGAAGCUUGGACUUCUGGAUGAUGUAAGACCAUAUGGAGAGAGAGAAGCCUAGCCAGCACCCAACCAUUCCAGCCACUUCACCUGAGAGUGAAGUAUUGCAUCUGAGAAGAUCUGAAGUACUUGGGGCAGCAAACAAGGUUUUAGAGGCUGUUUGGGGAAGGCAAAAGCGAGAGGUGAGGGAGGCAGAAGAGGAUUCUGAAGGGAACCAAAAUAUCCAGUGAGGAAUUCAAGAAGUUUUUGCUUUGUGAUGUGUGAAGUCAGUCCCCUCUCUCUUCCCUCCAACAAAAUCUUCAGAAAGUUACUUCUUCUGUUAUCGCACUGUGGAUCUGUUUUGAGGGGCACAUCAAGUGCUAAGUUCUGUUUCAAGGAGGGCUGAGGGUAAGAGCAGAUGCUGUCCAAGGGAGCCUGGCCACUCUAGGAAUACUAAAGAACAAAGGAAAAACUAAGUAAACAAAUGAAUUAAUUAAUUAAUGAAUGAGUGGAUCUUGGAACUCCUGCGAUCCUCCAGUAGCUGAUCAUCAUCCCUGGCAAGGCCUGGAAUCACUUCAGUUCAGUCUCCAGCCAAAUUCUGGAACUGGCCAAUUGGCCCGCUCCAUUUCCUAUCUCUUUUCUAUCCAAACUUUCCUUCUGUUUUCUUUUCCUUCACAUUGUGGGUUUGGGGAUUGAAGUGAUUUCUGUAGCAUGAGCUCUUUGUUUAUUCAUUCUUUAAUUUUCUGAUGUGUAUUGAAUGCUGUGUUGGGUGUGGGGCCAUGUGUGAUGGGGAAUUCUGAGAAAAGAUGGACUUCACAGUCAGCCAGCGAGAUAAGACUGGACUAUUGUAAGAGGCAGGAAGAAGUAGCUGCCACAGAAGAGACAAAAAUAAAAUGCUGUAACUGUUCAAAGAUGGGGUCUCAGGGGGCACAGUGCAGGAUAGAAGGUUGAGAAAGUCUCAUAGAAAUGGUGACAUCUAAGCCAAGCCUUAAAUUAAGGGUGACAUCUGAACAUGAAGAGAGAAGGAUUUGGGGGUUAGAGAUUGGAUGAGGGGGUAAUUCCUGACCUACCCACUCUGCUUUCCACAUUAACAUGCUGCUGACCUGUGUUCAGGCCCUUCUGGAUCCUUCCUCAGUGCUGUCCCGAGCCAGAGGGGAGAUGCAUUGACAUGUUAAUAAAAGAAAACCAGCCUCAGGCUUUUCCACCCACCGCUGAAGAAACCAAGGUUCUUUUUCAACUGUGACCUUUUGGGAACAGCUCGCCCUACCCUGGUCACCCAGUCAGAGAAAGGAAGAGCUAGAGUUGAAAAGAGCAAUAGGAUGGUACUACCAGAGGCCUGGGAUGUGGGAAGGGAAACUGAGGCCCAGAGAAAGAACAUUGACGCUGUAUUCCCUUAGCAGCACUCAAUGAAUAAAUGAAUUAAUAUAGAUGUCUGUUUGUUGCCCCACUUUGACAGUGAGCUCCUCAAGGGCAUGAGCUGAGUCUUACGCGUCUUGGUGUCCCCAGCACAGGACCUAGAACAUUGUAGGUGUGCAGUAUAUGGUAGCUGAACUAGCAUUCUACUGCCCUGGUAGUGAUUCUCAAUGCGUGGUCUCUGGAGCUGUAGUGUCAGCAUAAGCUGGGGACUUGUUGGAAAUACAAACUCUUGGGGCCUCACCCUAGACCUACUGAAUCAGAAACUCUGGGAGCAGAGUCCACAAAUCAGUGUUUUAGCAACUCCCCUGGGAGAUUCUGAUGCAGGUUAUAGCUUGAGAACCAUUGUUGUAGGAUAUUUGAGCCAAAAGACUUGCUCUGGCUUCCUUCAGCACAUCAAGAACUUACGCUUUUUAUAUACAACAGACACAUCUUUAUACUCCCACCCCCUUUGCCAAAAAAAGAGAAAAGAACAGAAAUGCCACAAAUAUAUUACCAGUGACCAGAAAAAUAUAAAUCAGUAGUGGCAAGUUGUUAUCCUUCCUGAAAAAACAUAAACUUUGCCUGUUAAAAAUACAUUCAGUGGGGCCCAGCCUGGUGGCCAAGUGGUUAAAGUUCUGUUUGCUCUCCUUCGGCAGCCCGGGUUAAUGGGUUUGGAUCCCAGGUGCAGACCUACUCUGCUCACCAGCCACGCUAUGGAGGUGUCCUACAUACAAAAAGAUAGAGGAAGAUUGGCACAGAUGUUAGCUCAGAGCUAAUCUUCCUCAAGCAGAAAAAGAGGAGGAUUGACAAUGGAUGUUAGGUCAGGGCAACCUUCCUCAGCAAAAAAUUUAAAAAUAUAUGUAUAUAUUCAAUGAUUUCAAAACAGACUUUUUAUAGAAUAGGAAGAGGGCAAAGAAAAAUGUCAAAAAAAAUUGAGCUGUAGUUUAAUGUGAAACUGCCACUCCUUUCAAACUGCUCAUCCUCCUUGUCAAUCUCAUUGUCAUCCCUGAUAAUUCCUAGGAGCUGCCACCAAUUGAUUCCUUCUGUAGUGGAAGAUCCUGUAAAAUUCAUUAUUUUCUUGAUCACCGACAUUGCUUCAGUACUUAUGGGACAGGCAGAAUUGACGGGAUCUUCUCUCCCUUCUGUAUUUUUGUACUUGGCAGAUAAGAAGAGCAAGGGAGUUUUGCAUAUGUCCACACAAAAUCAAUCCCCAAGUAUAAUCUCGGUCCUCACUAUGUGCUCAGUACUAUGCUGGCUUUGUAGGGGAUAUAGUUGGAUUUUAUUCCUAUCCUCAGGGAACCCCCAAUCUGGUAGGAUGAGUAUAUGCAGAAUGAAUGACUUAGCUUUUGGAUUAGGGCUUUCCAGCUUACAAAGUGUUUUUGCAGAGACAGUUUCAUUCGAUCCUUACAACAGAUCCUGGAAGCAGCACAUAGUGGCUAUAUCAAGGUAAAUCCAAAUCUGAAGCUACAAAAUGACCUGGUGAUAAACUACAAGGAAGGCUCCCUGACUUACAAGCAUUCCUUGGGCGGCUAUAUAGGUGAGUACAGUCUCAGGUAGGCAACAGAGGAUUGUGACUGUAUCUAAGAGAGCAUAAAUCCAACCAGUUAUACAAGAUGUGAUCUGAGAAAAAAUGUGUUCUUUUAACUGACGCCCACUUGAUAGACUAGCCACGUUGGCUGAUGUGCUGUUUUCUCUGUAAGACAUCCCAAUGAAUGCCUACAUCUCACUAAAAGCUUCUGGCUGGCAGUCCAGUCUCUUGUGUGCUUGUCAAUUAUCUCAUAGGCAUUCCUAGUUUCUCCCAAACCUGUUUAUGCCAGUCGUGCUGAUUUGCAAUUAUACAGUUAAGUAAAAUAUUAUGUUAACCAAUGAAAUAAUGAGUGUAAGAAAAUAAUGAGUUCUUGUUUUUAUGAAAAUUAAGUUGGGUGCUGUGAAAAAACUUGACAAAGAUGUUUUUAUUAAAGUAAAGUUGCUAUUGAAUGAUAUGUAAAUGAGACAACUUUGUGAUGAAAAUUGUAAAAUCUAGAAGGAUUCUGCUCUCACAUUGCUUCAUAGGGGUCUUUAUGUUCUUGCUCCACUUUACAGAAAUCUAGACUGGAAAUUGUAGAUGAUGCCUUGCGGGUGGGCUUUAUGAAAGGGAAAUGAGGUAGAUUUUAAGGAAAAGGCCUUAGCCCUAUAUCAAAAGAUUGGCACAUAAAGAUGUGUUUAAAUGUUUCGGAAUAAAUUGUUAAAUGCGUUCUUUUUUAUGAUUUCCUCAUUUUUUCCAAUGAACUCUUUUUCAAUUUACUUUUUUGAAAUAUUCUACUAAGUGUUUCUCAGUUUUGUUAGAUAAGAGGGCUUGCACUGAUCUACAUUGUCAUGGGGCCUAAACAAACAAGUCAAGGGUACAGGAGAGUAAAAUGUUGAUGGUGUUCUCCAGGGCUGUCCAUUGGAGAGAGGAGCAGACUCAAAUUAUUGCUCCUGGGAGCUCCUUCCUAGUGGAGAGUACGGGUGUUUAAGCUCAUCAUAGACUGAUGUCAUGACCAUUGGGAUUAUUCAGCAUUCCCCCUUGUUCUGAUUUCCUCUUCACUGAGAAAUCCUCUGUCUACAAUCUAGCCAUCCAUGUACAUUUCCUCUUAGAAGAGAAUGUGCAGAUGAGAAAAGACUUGAGUCUUGAUUCCUGAAGUUGUUAACAUUUUUCACUGUAAAUAGUGAAUUAUUACGAUAAUGUUUAAUUUGUAGGGGACAAUACCUACUGCCUCUUCUGAUGCUUCUAGUGAAACACACCUUAAAGAGGGUGGAAGUUACCCAACAGUAUUAAUAUAU
Molecule: long non-coding RNA, 4528 nt
Organism: Equus quagga
Lineage: Eukaryota; Metazoa; Chordata; Mammalia; Perissodactyla; Equidae
Exons: 4
Source: RefSeq, a predicted model, not a curated record